GAUGAAGAACGCAGCGAAAUGCGAUAAGUAGUGUGAAUUGCAGAAUUCAGUGAAUCAUCGAAUCUUUGAACGCACAUUGCGCCCUUUGGUAUUCCAAAGGGCAUGCCUGUUCGAGCGUCAUUUGUACCCUCAAGCUUUGCUUGGUGUUGGGCGUCUUGUCUCUAGCUUUGCUGGAGACUCGCCUUAAAGUAAUUGGCAGCCGGCCUACUGGUUUCGGAGCGCAGCACAAGUCGCACUCUCUAUCAGCAAAGGUCUAGCAUCCAUUAAGCCUUUUUUUCAACUUUUGACCUCGGAUCAGGUAGGGAUACCCGCUGAACUUAAGCAUAUCAAGCGGAGGA
RNAcentral lists this unclassified non-coding RNA (338 nucleotides) under soil metagenome. RNAcentral describes it as "partial contains 5.8S ribosomal RNA, internal transcribed spacer 2, and large subunit ribosomal RNA". The stretch from base 1 to 120 matches the Rfam family "5.8S ribosomal RNA", at positions 35 to 154 of the family's 154-position model. The record is from RNAcentral.